GGAAGGAUCAUUAACGAAGAGUUGGAGUGGCGCGCUCUGUUGCGGUGUAAAAGCUGCUUCGGGGUUGUGUGCUCCUUCACGACGUUUUCAGAAUUGAAAAGCACUUAAAAAAAGUCCAGCUAUAAGUAGAAGGCUGGCCCGGUGGUGGCUUCUGUGGCGUUGCGACGGCCCUCGUUGUGUGCCAGUUGCGAUCAGAGCCCUGUCGGAAUGUUAAACUCGGUGCAUCGGCUUGUUGCUGACCCGACGUCCGGCGUGAACGUUGGCCAGUGACUCGCAGGUGCAUCACGGGAUACCUACAGUCUCACAAGACGAUGCCAGCCGGUCGUGCAUGUUCACGCAAAUCGACCGGUUGGAGGCGUUCGCCGUGAGAGGAGAGCCGCAGCGCUCGAGGGUAUAAAGGGCUGCAGCGAGCGUCGCUGCCGACCGAGGGAUUAAACCACCUCGGCUCGUACUGGCCGUCCCGAUGUAUUCGCCGUGCAUGGCCCGCAGCGCUAGCACACUAUGGCGGGUACGUUACUCUGUCCAUGAUGGUAUUGAAUCAAGCCUCAACGGAGCGGUAAGUCUCGCACUCUAGCACAAGCGAGGCAAGCCAAUUCGGCGAGAGCAAAAAUAAACCGAUUGAAUCACUCUGUGCGGUGGAUCAUUCGGCUCGUGGGUCGAUGAAGAACGCAGCAAAAUGCGAGACGUAACGUGAAUUGCAGGACUUUGCGAACGUUAAUUCUUCGAACGCACAUUGCGGCUUUGGGUUGACUGAAGCCACGCCUGGUUGAGGGUCAGUUGAAUAAACCAUCACGACUGCGUGUUAGUCGUGGAUUGUCCGGAUAACGCUCGUAAGAGCGUUAGCGGAUCAAGUAGAGUCCGGAUGUGGCUCGUGGCUUCUUCUGAACGAGUGUGUUCUCGUUGGUUGGUUCGCACAAGACUACCAGUGCACAUGCACCGCAGCUGCAACGCGCUGGUUUAGUUGAACCUGACUGACGAGAGCCCGAGUGUUGGAAUUGGCUUUAACGAGCAAUACGGCAUCCGUGUGCUAAAUGCAGCUGCGUCUUGGACCCACGUAUGCGGGACCGGCAGCUAUAAGAAAUCAUUCUUUUGACCUCAGCUCAGACGAGAUUACCCGCUGAACUUAAGCAUACUACUAAGCGGAGGAAAAGAAACCAACGGGGAUUCCCAUAGUAACUGCGAGUGAAAGGGGAAAAGCCCAGCGCCGAAUCCUGCUGCUGGCGACGGCGGCAGGAACUGUGGCGUGAAGACGGUGUCUAUCGGUGUGGCUCGCUCGCGUAAGUCCUCCUGAGUGAGGCUCCAUCCCAUGGAGGGUGCAAGGCCCGUGUCGUGAGCAGCCGUCGCUGAUGUGCACUGUCAGAGAGUCGCCUUGUUUGCGAGUACAAGGUGAAGUCGGUGGUAAACUCCAUCGAAGGCUAAAUAUGACCACGAGUCCGAUAGCGAACAAGUACCGUGAGGGAAAAUUGAAAAGCACUUUGAAGAGAGAGCGAAACAGUGCGUGAAACCGCUCAGAGGCAAGCAGAUGGGGCCUCGAAGGCAGAGCAUCGAAUUCAGCCGGUUGUCCGUGCGGUUGGCCGGGAUAGGGGAGCGUAAGCCUCCGCCUGGUCGAUUGGUACGGCUGCCGGUGCACUUUCGGUGCUUGUACGCCACCGCCGUUAGGGAGCGUCCGUCGGGUCUGCGUGUCGGAGCCUGAUUCUCGCAAGAGAGUCGGUGCUCGCGGCAGGCCUGUACGCGUUCGCACACUAACCGGUCAAGUCAGCAUGUGCCAGCGUUUGCGCUGGGUCAGUCGGCUCCUUGUUGGUUGUUUAGAGAUGACGUGCUUGCACGGCUCUUUUGCACCGGCAGGACUCUGUGCUGGCCUUCAGCGUGGCACAUUGUCGAUUCGGUGGCGAGUAGACGGCUGCCCAUCUAACCCGUCUUGAAACACGGACCAAGGAGUUCAACAUGCGCGCCAGUCGUUGGGACGAGAAGCCCGCUGGCAGAGUGAAAGCAAGUCACAGUGUCACGCUGUGUAUUGGCGAGAUCCCGUCACCCGGGCCGCAAGGCCUGGGCCGGGCGCAUCGCCGGCCCAUCAUAAGCUCACGUGGCUGUGGUGGAGCUUGAGCGUGCACGUUGAGACCCGAAAGAUGGUGAACUAUGCCUGGGCAGGAUGAAGCCAGGGGAAACUCUGGUGGAGGUCCGUAGCGAUUCUGACGUGCAAAUCGAUCGUCUGACCUGGGUAUAGGGGCGAAAGACUAAUCGAACCAUCUAGUAGCUGGUUCCCUC
RNAcentral lists this unclassified non-coding RNA (2265 nucleotides) under uncultured fungus. RNAcentral's name for it is "sequence contains 18S rRNA gene, ITS1, 5.8S rRNA gene, ITS2, 28S rRNA gene". The stretch from base 1091 to 2265 matches the Rfam family "Eukaryotic large subunit ribosomal RNA", at positions 1 to 961 of the family's 3401-position model. Lineage: Eukaryota; Fungi. The record is from RNAcentral.